This 184-nucleotide microRNA precursor is filed under the name Oryza sativa Japonica Group (Japanese rice). RNAcentral's name for it is "MIR812 microRNA precursor family". It matches the Rfam family "MIR812 microRNA precursor family". Lineage: Eukaryota; Viridiplantae; Streptophyta; Magnoliopsida; Poales; Poaceae. The record is from Rfam by way of RNAcentral.
UUUAAGUAUAAUCAUAAGUUUUCGUGUCCAACUUAAUCGUUCGUUUUAUUUCAAUUUUUUUAUAAUUAGUAUUUUUGUUUUUAUGAAAUGAUAAAACAUGAAUAAUACUUUACUCGUGACUUAUAUUUUUAAAUUUUUUUAAAAAAUUUAAAUUCAGAUACGAAAAAUCAUGUCGGCCCUUAAA